RNAcentral lists this ribosomal RNA (527 nucleotides) under uncultured Alphaproteobacteria bacterium. Its description in RNAcentral is "bacterial SSU rRNA". It matches the Rfam family "Bacterial small subunit ribosomal RNA", at positions 77 to 640 of the family's 1533-position model. Lineage: Bacteria; Pseudomonadati; Pseudomonadota; Alphaproteobacteria. The record is from RNAcentral.
UCUUCGGAUGGUGGACAGUGGCGCACGGGUGAGUAACACGUGGGGACCUGCCUGAUAGUAAGGAAAAACAGUUGGAAACGACUGCUAAUACCUUAUACGCCCUUCGGGGGAAAGAUUUAUCGCUAUCAGAUGGACCCGCGCUAGAUUAGAUAGUUGGUGAGGUAAUGGCUCACCAAGUCUGCGAUCUAUAGCUGGUUUGAGAAGAUGAUCAGCCACAUUGGGACUGAGACACGGCCCAGACUCCUACGGGAGGCAGCAGUGGGGAAUAUUGUACAAUGGGGGCAACCCUGAUACAGCAAUGCCGCGUGAGUGAAGAAGGCCUUAGGGUUGUAAAACUCUUUCGCUAGGGAAGAUAAUGACGGUACCUAGUAAAGAAGUCCCGGCUAACUCCGUGCCAGCAGCCGCGGUAAUACGGAGGGGACUAGCGUUGUUCGGAAUUACUGGGCGUAAAGAGUUCGUAGGCGGAUAAGCAAGUAAGAGGUGAAAGCCCAGGGCUCAACCCUGGAACUGCCUUUUAAACUGCUUAU